RNAcentral lists this ribosomal RNA (253 nucleotides) under uncultured bacterium. RNAcentral's name for it is "partial 16S ribosomal RNA". It matches the Rfam family "Bacterial small subunit ribosomal RNA", at positions 524 to 776 of the family's 1533-position model. The record is from RNAcentral.
UACGUAGGGGGCAAGCGUUGUCCGGAUUUAUUGGGCGUAAAGAGCGUGUAGGCGGCCAGACAGGUCCGUUGUGAAAACUUGAGGCUCAACCUCGAGACGCCGAUGGAAACCGUUUGGCUAGAGUCCGGAAGAGGAGAGUGGAAUUCCUGGUGUAGCGGUGAAAUGCGCAGAUAUCAGGAAGAACACCCGUGGCUAAGGCGGCUCUCUAGUACGGUACUGACGCUGAGACGCGAAAGCGUGGGGAGCGAACAGG